GAUGAACGCUGGCGGCGUGCCUAAUACAUGCAAGUCGAGCGAACGGACGAGAAGCUUGCUUCUCUGAUGUUAGCGGCGGACGGGUGAGUAACACGUGGAUAACCUACCUAUAAGACUGGGAUAACUUCGGGAAACCGUAGCUAAUACCGGAUAAUAUUUUGAACCGCAUGGUUCAAAAGUGAAAGACGGUCUUGCUGUCACUUAUAGAUGGUUCCGCGCUGCAUUAGCUAGUUGGUAAGGUAGCGGCUUACCAAGGCAACGAUGCAUAGCCGACCUGAGAGGGUGAUCGGCCACACUGGAACUGAGACACGGUCCAGACUCCUACGGGAGGCAGCAGUAGGGAAUCUUCCGCAAUGGGCGAAAGCCUGACGGAGCAACGCCGCGUGAGUGAUGAAGGUCUUCGGAUCGUAAAACUCUGUUAUUAGGGAAGAACAUAUGUGUAAGUAACUGUGCACAUCUUGACGGUACCUAAUCAGAAAGCCACGGCUAACUACGUG
This 497-nucleotide ribosomal RNA is filed under the name uncultured bacterium. RNAcentral's name for it is "partial 16S ribosomal RNA". It matches the Rfam family "Bacterial small subunit ribosomal RNA", at positions 28 to 507 of the family's 1533-position model. The record is from RNAcentral.